This 326-nucleotide ribosomal RNA is filed under the name uncultured Bacillota bacterium. RNAcentral's name for it is "bacterial SSU rRNA". It matches the Rfam family "Bacterial small subunit ribosomal RNA", at positions 28 to 351 of the family's 1533-position model. Lineage: Bacteria; Bacillati; Bacillota. The record is from RNAcentral.
GAUGAACGCUGGCGGCGUGCUUAACACAUGCAAGUCGAGCGAUGAAGUUUCCUUCGGGAAACGGAUUAGCGGCGGACGGGUGAGUAACACGUGGGUAACCUGCCUCAUAGAGUGGAAUAGCCUUCCGAAAGGAAGAUUAAUACCGCAUAAUGUUGAAAGAUGGCAUCAUCAUUUAACCAAAGGAGCAAUCCGCUAUGAGAUGGACCCCGCGGCGCAUUAGCUAGUUGGUGGGUAACGGCCUACCAAGGCGACGAUGCGUAGCCGACCUGAGAGGGUGAUCGGCCACAUUGGGACUGAGACACGGCCCAGACUCCUACGGGAGGCUG